RNAcentral lists this ribosomal RNA (507 nucleotides) under uncultured bacterium. Its description in RNAcentral is "partial 16S ribosomal RNA". It matches the Rfam family "Bacterial small subunit ribosomal RNA", at positions 30 to 523 of the family's 1533-position model. The record is from RNAcentral.
AUUGAACGCUGGCGGCAGGCCUAACACAUGCAAGUCGAGCGGCAGCGGGAAAGUAGCUUGCUACUUUUGCCGGCGAGCGGCGGACGGGUGAGUAAUGCCUGGAAAUUGCCCAGUCGAGGGGGAUAACAGUUGGAAACGACUGCUAAUACCGCAUACGCCCUACGGGGGAAAGCAGGGGACCUUCGGGCCUUGCGCGAUUGGAUAUGCCCAGGUGGGAUUAGCUAGUUGGUGAGGUAAUGGCUCACCAAGGCGACGAUCCCUAGCUGGGCUGAGAGGAUGAUCAGCUACACUGGAACUGAGACACGGUCCAGACUCCUACGGGAGGCAGCAGUGGGGAAUAUUGCACAAUGGGGGAAACCCUGAUGCAGCCAUGCCGCGUGUGUGUAGAAGGCCUUCGGGUUGUAAAGCACUUUCAGCGAGGAGGAAAAGUUGAUGCCUAAUACGUAUCAACUGUGACGUUACUCGCAGAAGAAGCACCGGCUAACUCCGUGCCAGCCGCCGCGGUAA